Molecule: non-coding RNA, 3238 nt
Organism: Cricetulus griseus (Chinese hamster)
Lineage: Eukaryota; Metazoa; Chordata; Mammalia; Rodentia; Cricetidae
Source: RefSeq, a predicted model, not a curated record
UGACUCACACAGCCAAGGACAGAGCUGAGCUCUUAGAGUUCAGAUGAAGAGAGUGAGGAGGGAUCAUAUGAACAAGGGGGGGGGUCAAGAUCAUGAUUGGGAAAACCACAGGGACAGAUGACUCCAGCUAGUGGGAGCUCACAGACUCUGGACUGAUAGCUGGGGAACCUGCAUGGGACUAAACUAGACCCUCUGAAUGAAAGGUGGACUUCUUAACUCAUCUCAGGCCCAAGGUAUCUUUCAACAAGAAGGCAUCAGGAGAUGACACUACAAGAAGAAGCAAGAUGACCGUCAGAGCCCUGUCUCUGUAUUUCUGUACAGACCAUGAAGUUUCCUGCAGCUUUAGAAAUCCAAGGGAUCUGCUACUCAUGAUGCAAAGAGAAAACAGUUCUUCCAUUUUCCUCACUCCAUUAGCCUUAUAUAUUUGCUCUGCUUUUCCAGACCCUUCUAAAAAGAAAAAUGAAAAGAAAAAAGAAAGAAGACCUUUGCUUCUGCAUCUACCCCAAACGUGUUUGACAGAUCGUUCUUGGGUUUAGGUAGCUACUUCCUCAGGUUAAUCACACAAUUCCACUCCUACACAACCCAGUCUUUCCUGAGUCUUGUGAUUUCACACCCUUACUCAGCUUAGUCAUGGAAUUACAAUCACAUUAAAUUACCUCCACUUAAGAGGCUUCCUAUGCACACACAUGCACUCAUGUUUCAGCAUUGAGCAGAAACUAUUAUUUAAGCAUAAUGCAUUUAUCCAGAGCCCAGAGUCCAUGUCAAUAUUUCUGAUGAUGUAACUUGACAGCACUCUGUGUGACAAUAACAGUAAAAUCUGAUUUAGCAGCAAGACUCAAGAACCUGGCAUCUCUGCAUUUAGUUUAAUUGUUACCCAACUCAUGAUGAACUUAAAAUGUCCUUUGGUUUCCAACUCUUGGUUUUCCUGCUUUAGUAAGCCCCAUGAAUUAACUUGCUAAGGGUUUUGCAAUAACAGUUUUCUGUCUUGGGUUCGUAAUUAGAAUCAUUAGUUGUCACUGGAAAGGCCUCCAGAACUGGAGAUCAUAAGAUCAACUUUCUUGGUAUAGCUGUUGAAUAAACCCUGAUCCUCUUCCUUACAGGCAUUUAUUCACACUGCAUUUCUCAGCUGCCCUUGAAGUAAUACUCCUGGAUACCACACUCCUCUCCUGGUGACCAUUGUUGAUGUGUCUUUACUGUGACUGUAAGCAAAGUGACUAAAAUUUAGCAGUUGCCAAAAGAAAACUUCCCAGCAGGCCAACCACUGAACCUAGGAUAUUGCAUAUACUUAGCUCUCGCUCUUCCUGUGGAUGCAGAUGGAAAAUACUCAGCUACCUCACCAGAACCAUGUCUACCUGCAUGCCACCAUGUUUCCUCACAACGAUAAUGAACUAAACCUCUGAAACUGGGUUGUGGUGAACCUAACCACAAAAUGACUGAUAUUUUCAACAAUCUGGCAAAAAGAUAAUUGUUCACUUAACUUCAGGACGUGGUGGAUUUUUUUCAGCUAAACAAUAAAGAGAUCACAAUGACCCUAACCAUAGUAAUGAGCUAGAUAUUUUCCAAGUCCUGAGAUAAUAGAUGGCGAUGUUCCUAAAAAUGGGAUGACUGUGAGGAUGAAUCCCUUCAAGAUAGCAUCAUCAUCCAUAAAGGAUUAUUGUUAAGUCUUUACUAAUAACCCAGUAAAUGGUGAAGUAUAUAUUGCAGCACAAACCAUGUGAUCUUAGAUAUCAAGGUUAAGAACUGAUGCAGAGACCUUUGGGAUGACAUGUGACCUCGUAUUUUCAUGAUGUUUAUUUGUAACACAGGAAAGAACACCACAAUGAGACAGACAGUGUUGUCAAAAUGAACAUAUCUAGUAUCCAGGUGUCUUUCCUUGACAAAACUUCACAAUGCCUCAAAGUGAUCUUCAAGAGUGUGGUUUCUCACAGUAAGUAAAUGAUUGAGAAUCACUGCACAGGGCACUGGUUGUCAUCGGCACAGGUAAGUGAUCAGUGUCCCUUAGCCCUGCUUUUCUUUACAGCAUAUGUGUCCUGAAGAUGUGUGGAUAAGAAGUCAUAGAGUCUUGGCAAAUUUCAUGAUCAUGAUUUCAUAUAAUAUGUUCAUGACCUUCAUGUUGAACUUGUGACUGCUAAGGGAUUGAUUGUGUCAGAGCUUACUGUCAUUUUCAUUGACUUGUCAGCCUAAGUUAAGCACCAGUUUUAUAGUCUCCAGAUCAAAAAAGUAUGGUCACUUCUGAAUUGUGGUCCAAUUAUGAGUCAUUCAAGUAUCUAAAUGCAGUUGAAUGGUCCCUCAAUUAUAGUUGUGGGCAAAGGAAUGUGAAUGAGUCCUUAUAAUGUAAAGUGGAUCCAGAUACAUAUUUUUCCAAUUUUAAAAUUGAAAAAUAUCUCAAAGUGAGCUAAAGGAGGUUAUUAAGUGGGUCACUGAUGUUUCAAGGUAAGUGCUGAAGAUGACCUCUUUACAAAGCAGGAUAUCAGAUACUCCUGUUCCUGAAAAAUUGUUGAUGAUGUCACCAGUGCUUUUCAUUACCACACAUUUGUGAUGGGUAUGCAAAUAUAAAUGAUUUGGGUCCUUAGAAACCUAGCGAAGAGUUUACAUGACUUACACAGGAGAAAAUGCAUGUUAAAUCUCUAUAAAUUGAUACAUUGAUUAUUUCUUGGUUCUUUGUCAUAGAUCUUGACUUUGAGGCAAGUUGUAAGCCUUGAAUAUUUUGCAGGUUGAAGAAGGGGUGGUCUUUCCUCAAAAUUACAUGUACCGUUUCUUCAUACUGGUCUCAAACUCGAGGAGAUCUGCCUGCCUCUGCCUCCCAGGAGCUGGGUUUAAGAGACAGGUCACAACCUCAUGGUACCUCACAAAGAUCUGCAAGAAUACUACUUCUCGAUAUAUGCAAAAGUGCCUCUAUGAUCCUGAAUCAGUCUACAAACCACCUCAUGAUCACCCACAGUAAGGUAACCGAGAUCCAGAAAGAUAAAUAUGAAGAUGAGAACAAUACAGAGACCCAUGGCCAGACAUCAUGCAGAGAGACCUUGAAACACACAGUUCUAAAUGGAAUGUCUCCAUCAAAUCUCACUCCUCAGAGCUCAGGGAACCCUGUAGAAGAUGAGGCAGAAAGAGUAUAAGAACCAGAGCAGAUGGAGGACACCAGGAGAACAAGGCCCUCUGGAUAACUGAGCACGGCUCAUAUGAACUCAGAGACUGAAUAAGCAAGCACAGGGCAUACACAGGUCUGUGCUAGGUCCUC